This is a non-coding RNA of Triticum aestivum (bread wheat), 125 nucleotides long. The record is from Rfam. NCBI's taxonomy places the organism in Eukaryota, Viridiplantae, Streptophyta, Magnoliopsida, Poales, Poaceae.
CAUGUACUCCCUCCGUUCAAAAAUACUUGUCAUAAAAAUGGAUGUAUCUAAACUUAUUUUAGUUUUAGAUACAUCAAUUUUUAUCCAUUUCUAAAACAAGUAUUUCCGGACGGAGGGAGUACAUG